AGUGAACGCUGGCGGUAGGCCUAACACAUGCAAGUCGAACGGCAGCACAGAGGAGCUUGCUCCUUGGGUGGCGAGUGGCGGACGGGUGAGGAAUACAUCGGAAUCUACUCUGUCGUGGGGGAUAACGUAGGGAAACUUACGCUAAUACCGCAUACGACCUAUGGGUGAAAGCAGGGGAUCUUCGGACCUUGUGCGAUUGAAUGAGCCGAUGUCGGAUUAGCUAGUUGGCGGGGUAAAGGCCCACCAAGGCGACGAUCCGUAGCUGGUCUGAGAGGAUGAUCAGCCACACUGGAACUGAGACACGGCCCAGACUCCUACGGGAGGCAGCAGUGGGGAAUAUUGGACAAUGGGCGCAAGCCUGAUCCAGCCAUACCGCGUGGGUGAGGAAGGCCUUCGGGUUGUAAAGCCCUUUUGUUGGGAAAGAAAUCCAUCUGGUUAAUACCCGGGUGGGAUGACGGUACCCAAAGAAUAAGCACCGGCUAACUUCGUGCCAGCCGCCGCUGUAA
RNAcentral lists this ribosomal RNA (506 nucleotides) under uncultured bacterium. Its description in RNAcentral is "partial 16S ribosomal RNA". It matches the Rfam family "Bacterial small subunit ribosomal RNA", at positions 29 to 523 of the family's 1533-position model. The record is from RNAcentral.